AUAUGAAUUCUUUAUGAAGGUAACGACGCGAUAUUGAAGGAGAACGAGUGAGCGAUAUCUUAGCUAAACGACCAAGGUAGACAGAGAGGAGAGCUUGGCCCAGAUCCUCAGUAGCAGUCAGCUGGUUGAAAGCACUCCAUUGUCCGGAGGUGCUUAGGAUUAUCCUUUUGGUAUAUAUGUAUAUUUUGGGCACGACGGAGUCUUGUUCCGUCCAUGUAUAUACAGUAUGUUAGUAGAGGCUCGUAGAUACGCAGUGUGGGUUAGAUGGUCUCACAAGACGUUUUCAUAUGCGUGUAUAUUAUUUUGAUGGCCGAAAGGCAAUUGUAUAUAAAGUAUUUAUGUUUGUUUAAUUA
Long non-coding RNA from Lycium barbarum (goji berry), 353 nucleotides. RefSeq lists it as uncharacterized. The record is from RefSeq and is a predicted model, not a curated record. The transcript is spliced from 2 exons. Lineage: Eukaryota; Viridiplantae; Streptophyta; Magnoliopsida; Solanales; Solanaceae.